AAAAAAAAAGAAAAAAAAAACUAUGACAUGUCAUGAUACAUAUAGGAAUGGGGGAUUAUGGGACAAAAAAUAAAUCCACUAGGUUUCCGGCUUGGUACAACACAAAGUCAUCAUUCUCUUUGGUUUGCAAAACCAAAAAACUAUUGCGAGGGUCUACAAGAAGAUCAAAAAAUACGAAACUUUAUUAAGAAUUAUAUAAAAAAAAAUAUCAGAAUAUCUUCCGGUGUUGAGGGAAUUGCACGGAUAGAGAUUCAAAAAAGAAUUGAUCUAAUUCAAGUUAUAAUCUAUAUAGGGUUCCCAAAAUUAUUACUAGAAAAUAGACCGCGAAGAAUUGAAGAAUUACAGAUGAAUGUACAAAAAGAACUUAAUUGUGUGAAUCGAAAAAUAAACAUUGCUAUUACACGAAUUACAAAUCCUUAUGGACACCCCAAUAUUCUUGCCGAAUUUAUAGCCGGACAAUUAAAAAAUAGAGUUUCUUUUCGAAAAGCAAUGAAAAAAGCUAUUGAAUUAACGGAACAGGCCGAUACAAAAGGAAUUCAAGUACAAAUUGCAGGGCGUCUUGACGGAAAAGAAAUUGCGCGCGCCGAAUGGAUCAGAGAAGGUAGAGUUCCUCUACAAACCAUUGGAGCUAAAAUUGAUUAUUGUUCCUAUACGGUUCGAACUAUCUACGGGGUAUUGGGAAUCAAAAUUUGGAUAUUUGUAGACGAAAAAAAAUAAGAGUUUACGGGUCUUUAGAGCCCCCCCAUUAAUGGAAAUAAACCAAACAAAGAACGAGCUCUUUUUAUCUUCAAUCAAAACAAAAAUGAGAAAUUCCGCAAUUCUAUAGGGUUGAAUAAAAAUUCGAUUGAUUUUUUUUUUUUUAUAUAAUUGCUAUGCUUAGUGUGCGACUCGUUGGUUUUUUUUAGGGCUAGGAUUCCAAAAAAUGGACCGUCCUGUAGUAUGAACUAAUAACUAUAGCACUAAUAACCAACUCAUUGCUUCGUAUUAUCUGAAUCCAAAGAACCAGUCAAGAUAUAAUAUAGUGGUCAUAUCGUUGUAGCAACUGAAAUUUGCAUAACAUAAAAACCCAAUCUGAUUGUAGGUUGUGAAGUUCGAAGUUGUGAAAGAAAAUCGAAAAGCAUGCGGAUAAAUGGAAGGAUGAGAGAAAGAGAGAAAGAAAAUAUCAAUGAUAUAAGAUUCCAAUAUGUAAGGUCUGUAAGUCAUCUCAUAAAAAACAGUGUAAUAUAGCAUCAAUAAUGAUUCAUCCCUAACUAGAUGAAUCCGCUCAUAGAACAAAAAAAAUCAAGAGCCCCGAGCCAAUAAAAACUGAGAAAAUUGACUUAAGAAAAAAUUUCAUUAAGGGCUCCGUUGGAGAAUUCAGACCUAACCAUUAAUCGAGAAGCAAUGGGAACGACGGAACCCGUGAAUAAAGAAAAAGAAGAUUCUAUUGGAAAUGAAUCUUAAUGAUUUAUUGGGUGGGAUGGCGAAACGAACCCAGGAACUAAACUAUUCUUUUAUUCGUAGAGGUCAUGAACUAACCCUACAACUGAAAUAGAUAUUGAAAGAGUAAAUAUUCGCCCGCGAAAGGUUUAUUUUUUGAUUUUAUUGGAUUGAUUCAUUUUGCUCGAUCCGAUAUGGUAAAGGGCAAAACAAAAUAAAGAUUUGUUAUAACGAUAAAAAAAAAAAAAAGACAUUGAGAUUAUCUAUAAAUAGAACAUAAAUGUUUCAAUUCUAUAUCUAAACAUGAUAUACAAAUUUAGAAUAGAUUAAUUAGAUGAACUUUCAAAAAAUCCUAUGCUUCAGUAUAUUAUUCAUUAAAUUCCCCUAUAUCUUGAUAAAAUCGUUUUUAGUCCUUUCAUUCGCGAGGAGCUGGAUGAGAAGAAACUCUCAUGUCCAGUUCUGUAGUAGAGAUGGCAUUGAGAAAGAACCAUCAAUUAUAACCCCAAAAGAACAAGAUUCCGUAAACAACAUAGAGGAAGAAUGAAAGGGAUAUCUUAUCGAGGUAAUCAUAUUUGUUUCGGCAGAUAUGCUCUUCAAGCACUUGAACCCGCUUGGAUCACAUCUAGACAAAUCGAAGCGGGGCGCCGCGCAAUGACACGAAAUGUACGGCGCGGUGGAAAAAUAUGGGUACGUAUCUUUCCAGACAAACCCGUUACACUAAGACCCACGGAAACCCGUAUGGGGUCCGGUAAAGGAUCCCCGAAUAUUGGGUAGCCGUCGUUAAACCGGGUAGAAUACUUUAUGAAAUGAGUGGAGUAGCUGAAAAUAUAGCUCGAAAGGCUAUUUCAAUAGCGGCGUCCAAAAUGCCUAUAAGAACUCAAUUCAUUAUUUCGGGAUAGGAAUGUCGAAACAAAGGAAAUAAAUCUUGGGUAUAAAAAAUGCGGGUCUUCCCUUUUUUUUUUUACUUCGUCCUUUCAGUGCUUUACUUUAAAUUAAACAUUAAAAAAACGGACUCAAAAAACGAUAUGAUUCAACCUCAAACCCAUUUGAAUGUAGCAGACAAUAGCGGUGCCCGAGAAUUGAUGUGUAUUCGAAUCAUAGGAGCCAGUAAUCGUAGAUAUGCUCAUAUUGGUGACGUUAUUGUUGCUGUGAUCAAGGAAGCAGUACCCAAUACGCCUCUAGAAAGAUCAGAAGUGAUCAGAGCUGUAAUUGUACGUACUUGUAAAGAACUCAGACGUGAUAACGGUAUGAUAAUACGGUACGAUGACAAUGCUGCAGUUGUCAUUGAUCACGAAGGAAAUCCAAAGGGAACUCGAGUUUUUGGUGCGAUCGCCCGGGAAUUGAGACAGUUGAAUUUUACUAAAAUAGUUUCAUUAGCACCUGAAGUAUUAUAAGAGGGGACCGCGAUAUAGUGAUAGUAUGAAAAUAAAAUAGAUAAAUCAAAAUUUAGUAGAGUAUGUCUCACGCAUAUACUUUUAAUAAUUUUCAUAAAAAAAAGAACAUGUUGAUUAUAUCAAAAUUUGGAAGCAACAAAAUUUUCAGUUUAUCAUGGGCAAGGACACUAUUGCUGACAUAAUAACUUCUAUACGAAAUGCUGACAUGAAUAGAAAGGGAACGGUUCGAAUAGCAUCUACUAACAUCACCGAAAACGUUGUUAAAAUCCUUUUGCGAGAGGGUUUUAUCGAAAACGCAAGGAAACUCGUGGAAAACAAAAACAAAAAAGAGUUUUUGGUUUUAACCCUACGACAUCGAAGGAAUAGGAAAGGGCCGUAUAGACCCAUUUUAAAUUUAAAACGAAUCAGUCGACCCGGUCUACGAAUCUAUUUUAACUAUCGACGAAUUCCUAGAAUUUUAGAUGGGAUGGGGAUUGUAAUUCUCUCUACUUCUCGGGUAUAAUGACAGACCGAGCGGCUCGACUGGAAAGAAUCGGUGGAGAAAUUUUGUGUUAUAUAUGGUAAUUAUUCUGCUAUCCGAAUUGUAUUUGGAGCUUACUUUUAUGUUGUGAGAAAAAAAAAGGGAGGAUUCCUCGAGGUUUAAUUACCGAAUAACUUACCAAAGGUAUGCUCCGGGUUCUUUUAGAUAGUUUAGAGAGCGAAGUAAGAUUCUAGAUUAUGUUUCAGGAGGGAUGCGACCCGUUUUUCUACAUCUACUCCCGGUGGCUAGAGGCAAAAUUGAAGGAAGUCGUUAUGAUUCAGAUUCAACUGGAGGAUAUAAUAAUAAUAUAUAGACUACACAAAAGGAUUUGAGUGAUUAGGUGAUUUUUCAACAUUCCUUUCAGGGGGAUACAAAUCGCGGUUCAAAAAUUUCAAGAAACUUAUUUUCUUCCAACUUCCAAUAAGGAGAUUCGAAAUUCAUUUAAGGAAUAACAAUUAUGAAAAUAAGGGCUUCAGUUCGUAAAAUUUGUGAAAAAUGUCGACUGAUCCGCAGGAGGGGACGGAUUAUAGUAAUUUGUUCCAACCCGAGACAUAAACAAAGACAAGGAUAAUCUUUCGAAAAGUUUAGAAAGUAACCGAUGAACAAAUCAACAUAAAAGAUCGGUUUUGACAUGAAAUGGAUAUAUCCAUAUAUCUCUGACUUAUAUUUAUGAAAUGAUCAAAUAUGGCAAAAUCUCCACCACGAAGUGGUUCACGUAGGCCGGGACGGAUCGGUUCACGUAAAAGUGGACGUCGAAUACCAAAGGGCGUUAUUCAUGUUCAAGCAAGUUUCAACAACACCAUUGUGACUGUUACAGAUGUCCGGGGUCGGGUAAUUUCUUGGUCCUCGGCCGGUACUUGUGGAUUCAGGGGUACAAGAAGAGGUACGCCUUUUGCUGCUCAAACCGCAGCAGGAAAUGCUAUUCGAGCAGUAGCGGAUCAAGGUAUGCAACGAGCAGAAGUCAUGAUAAAGGGUCCUGGUCUCGGAAGAGAUGCGGCAUUACGAGCUAUUCGUAGAAGCGGUAUCCUUUUAAAUUUCGUACGGGAUGUAACCCCUAUGCCACACAAUGGUUGCAGACCCCCUAAAAAAAGACGGGUGUAGAAAUAAACAUUGAAGAGAUUUCAAGAGAAAUAAAUGACUCAAUGAUCUGACAAAUAAUAUUACUAUGGUUCGAGAGAAAGUAAAAGUAUCUACUCGGACACUACAGUGGAAGUGUGUUGAAUCAAGAGCAGACAGUAAGCGUCUUUAUUAUGGGCGCUUUAUUUUGUCUCCACUUAUGAAAGGUCAAGCCGACACAAUAGGCAUUGCGAUGCGAAGAGUUUUGCUUGGAGAAAUAGAAGGAACAUGUAUUACACGCGCAAAAUCUGAAAAAAUUCCACACGAAUAUUCUACCAUAGUGGGUAUUCAAGAAUCGGUACAUGAAAUUUUAAUGAAUUUGAAAGAUAUUGUAUUGAGAAGUAAUCUUUAUGGAACUUGUGACGCGCUUAUUUGUGUCAAAGGCCCGGGAUAUGUAACUGCUCAAGACAUCCUCUUGCCGCCUUCUGUGGAAAUCGUUGAUAAUACGCAGCACAUAGCUAGCCUAACAGAACCAAUUGAUUUGUCUAUUGGAUUACAAAUCGAGAGGAGUCGAGGAUAUAAUAUAAAAACGCCAAAUACCUUUCAAGACGGAAAUUGUUAUCCUAUCGAUGCUGUAUUCAUGCCUGUUCGAAAUGCGAAUCAUAGUAUUCAGUCUUAUGGGAAUGGCAAUGAAAAACAAGAGAUCCUUUUUCUAGAAAUAUGGACAAACGGAAGUUUAACUCCUAAAGAAGCACUUCAUGAAGCCUCCCGGAGUUUGAUUGAUUUAUUUAUUCCCUUUCUCCAGGCAGAAGACGAAAACUUACCUUUAGAGAACAAUCAAUACAAGGUUACUUUACCCUUUUUUACUUUUCAUGAUAGAUUGGCUAAACUAACGAAAAAGAAAAAAGAAAUCGCAUUGAAAUCGAUUUUUAUUGACCAAUCAGAAAUGUCUCCCAGGAUCUAUAAUUGUCUCAAAAAGUCCAAUAUACAUACAUUAUUCGACCUUUUGAAUACGCGUCAAGAAGACCUUAUGAAAAUUGAACACUUUCGCAUAGAGGAUGUAAAGCAGAUAAUGAGUAUUCUAGAAAAGAAAUAGAAAAGCAUUUCACAAUUGAUUUACCGAAAAAAAAAAAAACGAGAAAAUUGAAAUGGCUUUGCACCUUUAGACCCGUCUAUAUAUUCAGACCGGAAUUAAAUUGAAUAGAAGUAUCUAGGGAGAAUUCACUUUUACUUUGAAGUGACUACUCCCUAGAUACACACGUCAUGAUAUUUUACAAUUGAAUCAAUUUAAAAAAGACCUAAAGUUAGGGAUUUUUCAAUAGGUAAUGUUGCUCCAAUACCCAAGCACAAGGCCACUGCGGUCCCAAUCAAAAAGACGGUUGUCGCUACGGGACGGCGAAAUGGAUUUUGGAAUUUAUUAACAUUUUCCAAAAAAGGUACUGUUAAUAAUCCCGUAGGUACUGAAACCAUUAAAAGAACACCCAACAGCUUAUUGGGUACUGUACGAAGUAUUUGAAAUACGGGAAAGAAAUACCAUUCGGGUAAGAUUUCCAAAGGAGUUGCAAAUGGAUCCGCGGGUUCACCAAUCAUUGAUGGUUCUAGAACCGCUAAGCCUACGGUACAUGCAAUAGUACCUAGAAUUACUACUGGAAAAAUAUAUAAAAGAUCGUUGGGCCAUGCGGGUUCUCCAUAAUAAUUAUGACCCAUACCCUUAGCCAACUUAGCCCUUAAUACAGGAUCAUUCAAGUCAGGUUUUUUUGUUAUUGGGAUAGGCGAAUUCUUAUAGAUCCAUCCCCCAAAGAACCGGACAUGAUAAUUUUUCAUCAUCCGGCUCGAGCAAGAAUCAACCAAACUAAAAGGAUACAUAUAAAAAAAGAAAUAGAUAAAAAAAGAAAUAUAGAUUUUCGAAAAUCUAUAUUUUACGCAUAUCGGGAUGAUUCUAUAUGUAAAAUUACCGGAUUCCGUUUUACGAAGUUUCAACUAUCAAUUGCAAGGAAUUCGGUUCUUACAGGUGUAUGCUCCAUACCCAAGUAGGCUUACAAAAUUGAUCAUGAUCAAGAGCUUUCUGGGUCGUCUCAGCCCUUGUGAUUCACCCUUAUCCAAAAACAAAAAAAAAAAAGAUCGAGCUGAGAUUUUUCUUUUUCGCGUACAAAGGAUUUACUUGUUACUAAUAUAGUCUAGCCGCUGCUCUUCUUUAGACCCCUUGUUUCACUCCGAUAGUAUCAUAAAUCGGGAUCGGUGCAGAAGAAAUGAAUGCAUUUCCAUACUAUUAAGUAAGUAAUCUAGAAUCUAGCGAAAACAUAAUCUAGAUUAUGCCACAUCGCUUAUUCUACUGGAUCUUACGGAGCCUGCUCAUGCGCGGCAUGCUUGGGGCUGAUCAUAGAAAAGAUUCUUUUCAAUCGAACCAACCUAUCCUCUCUAUGGGGUGCCGGUUGGAACAAAGACACAUUUGGUCGCGAAUUCCAAUGUAGCAGAUUAAAGACAUAUUUCUGCACGGCCCAAUCAAUAGUUCAAGUCACACACUCCCAUAAUCCAUUUUCUCUUCGGAGAAUUCCCGUCAACUAUUCAUUUCAUUCAUGUCAAAUAAAAAGUCCAAUAUUAUGGAGUUGAGGGGAAAUUUCCAACUCCAUGUCUUAUUCUUUGUCAAUAAUCCAUAUUUGUAGCAAUGAAAUAUUAUUGUUCCUCCCCAAGCAAUAAGAUAAAGGGUUGAUUACAAAUCGCUAUAAUCUAGAUUUUGUAUAAUUUUAUAAAGGGCCAGAAAUACCUUGUUUACGUAUCAUUAGGAAAUGCAUUAACAUAAAUACGGCAGUAAGAAGAGGUAAUACAAAAGUGUGUAAACUAUAAAACCGAGUCAAAGUGGACUGUCCCACACUAGCACUUCCGCGUAAUAACUCUACCAAAGGCGAUCCUAUUACCGGAAUUGCUUCGGGCACGCCUGUUACAAUUUUUACUGCCCAAUAUCCAAUUUGGUCCCAAGGUAAAGAAUAACCUGUUACACCAAAAGAUGCGGUCAAUACAGCCAGAACCACACCUGUAACCCAAGUCAAUUCGCGAGGUUUUUUAAAACCCCGGUGAGAUACACGCGAAAUACGUGCAGGAUUGUCAUUAGGACCAUCAUACUUGCCGACCAUCGAUGAACCGAUCGAAUUAACCACCCGAAGUUAACUUCCGUCAUUAUGUAUUGAACAGAGGCAAAAGCCUCAGUAACGGUCGGGCGGUAGUAAAAAGUCAUAGCAAACCCUGUAGCUACUUGUACUAAAAAACAAGUGAGCGUAAUUCCUCCCAGACAAUAAAAUAUGUUGACAUGAGGAGGAACGUAUUUACUAGUUAUAUCAUCUGCAAUCGCCUGAAUCUCGAGACGUUCUUCGAACCAAUCGUAGACUUUAUUGAGAUAGGUAAACCAAGAGAACUCCCCUCUGAGAACCGUAUAUGAGAAUUUCAUCUCGUACGGCUCAAACAAAACCACCCCAAUACUGGUAUGGAAUAGAAAAUUGGAAACUUCUUAAUUUUUUGAUUCAAUCUUAUCUAAAAAUACGAAAGAAUAAAAAUAAGAAAGCUUUUCUUUGUGGUUAUAAUUAGAAUGCCAAAAAAUCAAGUCGACGCGCUUAUCUUUAUGUUGAUCGUUACAGGCCUCUUGAAUCUUCUAUUUACCUAUUUCAUUUUCUUUGAUUUGUUAUUUUGAGUUGUAUGUAAUGCAGCUUGACUUUUGUUUUCUUUAUUAUUGCUAGGAAUUUUCUUGUUAAGACCCUAUGAAUCAAUUGAAACCUCAGAUUCAUACUAGAACCACGAUGAUUCAAUAAAACCUUCAAACUAAGUCCAAAGAUUCCAUGAGUAAGAAUCCUUGGAUCAUCAUUUAUUCAAAUUUGUGCUUUGAGUAAAAUAAAAGCAGAAAUGGGGAAUUUGAAAGAAGAAAAAUCUUGCAAUUGCAAAUUUUGUCUUUGGAAAAAUUUUUUGAAUCCGGCCAAGGGGUCUGAAUAUUAAGUAUGAAUCAUAGUUCGAAUACUUCGUGAUCUAUUUCAUAUAUUCCGUGCUCCAGAUACUCGAAUGAAUAUCCGACGGAGUAAAGCCAUCUCGAUCAAGACGACAGAUCUAUGCUCUGUACUAUCAAUAGGAUCAAUUCGAACAAGUCGCACACUCAUAUUCCGGAAAUACAGAAAUAAAAAAUUCGCGGUCGAACUACCAAUCAACGAAAAUCAAAAUCCGAUACCUAAAUGCUUAUUUAAAAGGUAGUAUUUUGUGAUUCUUGUAAAUUUCAUUCUAAUUCAGUGAAAUUCCGUCCAGUAAAACGGACGAAUUAUAAAUCUCCAAAAUAAUAGAUAGGAAUACCGCAAAUAAAGCCAUUGCGACUCCCAUCAAAGGAGUAGUUCCCCAUCCAGGAGCUACUUUACCAUAUUCCGAAUUCAAGGGUUUCAACAACCCCCUGCAGAAGUUCUUUUUGGACGAGCUCUAGAACUACCCUCAACUGUUUGUGUAGCCAUAAAUCCUAUUUUGUAUUGAUUGAGAUCUGUUGACUUUGUAUACCAUUCCGUUGUAAAUAAACGAUCUUAUCAUGGAUCCAGUGUGGUCUUGAAAUUCUAUAAUAAUGGAAACAGCAACCCUAGUCGCCAUCUCUAUAUCUGGGUUACUUGUAAGUUUUACUGGGUACGCCUUAUAUACUGCUUUUGGGCAACCCUCUCAACAACUAAGAGAUCCAUUCGAGGAACACGGGGACUAGUUGAAGUAGAAGUAAUGGGCCUCCCAAUAUUGGGAGGCCCAUUACUUCAAUUGAGAUAAAAAAAAAUCAUUUUGUUUUUUUAGUUGGAACUUUAGGCGGUUCUCGAAAAAAGAUAGCGAAAAAAAUGAUCCCUAGAGUCGAGACUAAGAGGAAUGUAUAAACCAAUGCUUCCAUAAAUUCGAUCGUGGUUUCCAAUUAUAGCUUCCAUACCUGUUUAUUUGGGAUCAUCCCCCGGAUUAAAGAAAAAAAGAAUCAAAAAGGGCGGCGAUUUAAAUCCAUAUUUCUCCAGUACCUUAUACCUUAUUUUAAAUAAAAAGCACAAAUCGAAAAUAGAAGCAGAAGUGAGAAACUAAAAUAGUAGAGCAAUGCUGCAUCAGACUACUUGUCUUCUUGUAGUUGGAUCUCCAAGUUUUUGGAAUACUCCAAAUUCCACUUGAGCGUCCAAAUCCGGGUCAAUACCAGCAAAAACAUCUCUGAACAAGGUUCUAGCACCAUGCCAAAUGUGUCCGAAGAAGAAAAGCAGAGCAAAUGAAGCGUGUCCAAACGUAAACCAGCCCCUUGGGCUGCUACGAAAAACACCAUCGGAUUUCAAAGUAGCACGAUCUAAUUCAAAAAUUUCACCCAAUUGAGCACGUCUAGCAUAUUUUUUCACAGUAGCAGGAUCACUAUAACUCACGCCAUUCAGCUCGCCACCAUAGAACUCAACGGUUACACCUACUUGUUCGACACUAUACUUCGAUUCUGCCCUUCGAAAAGGAACGUCGGCUCUAACAAUUCCAUCUCCGUCUACCAAAACAACUGGAAAUGUUUCAAAAAAAGUAGGCAUACGACGUACAAAAAGUUCACGCCCUUCUUUAUCUCUAAAUAUAGGGUGUCCUAACCACCCGACAGCUAUUCCAUCCCCGUUAUCCAUUGAACCCGCUCUGAAUAAUCCCCUUUCGCAGGAUUAUUUCCGAUGUAAUCAUAAAAAGCUAAUUUUUCAGGAAUUUUAGACCAAGCUUCUGAUAAACUUUGAUUUUCGGCUAGUCCAGCACUGACUCUUCGAUAUAUUUCUUGCUGAAAGUAUCCCUGAUCCCAUUGAUAACGGGUGGGACCAAAUAAUUCGAUGGGGGUAGUUGCUGACCCAUACCACAUAGUUCCAGCAACAACAAACGCUGCAAAAAAGACAGCAGCGAUGCUGCUGGAAAGAACGGUUUCAAUAUUGCCCAUACGUAAUCCUUUGUAUAAGCGUUGUGGCGGGCGGACACUGAGAUGGAAUAAGCCUGCUAAUAUGCCCAAUGUCCCUGCCGCAAUAUGAUGAGAGGCUAUUCCUCCUGGAACAAAAGGAUCAAAACCUUCCACACCCCAUGCUGGAUUUACAGAUUGUACCUUUCCAGUUAGUCCAUACGGAUCAGACACCCAUAUUCCAGGACCAUACAAUCCUGUUACAUGAAAUGUCCCAAAACCAAAGCAAGCCACUCCUGAGAGAAAUAAAUGAAUUCCAAAGAUUUUAGGCAAAUCCAAAGAACGUUUUCCUGUACGGUCAUCAACAAAUAUUGCUAGAUCCCAAUACACCCAAUGCCAGAUAGCUGCCAAGAAGCACAAUCCGGAAAACACAAUAUGUGCCCCGCUACACCUUCGUAACUCCAAAUACCCGGAUUCGUUACUGUCCCCCUGUAAUACUCCAACCACCCCAUGAAUCGGUUAUUCCUAAACGAGUCAUGAAGGGUAUAACGAACAUGCCUUGUCUCCACAUUGGAUCAAGAACUGGAUCGGAGGGAUCAAAAACAGCUAAUUCAUAUAGAGCCAUUGAACCGGCCCAACCCGCAACCAGGGCUGUAUGCAUUAUAUGGACAGCAAUCAAACGACCGGGAUCAUUCAAUACGACGGUAUGAACACGAUACCAAGGCAAACCCAUGGGACUACCCCUUUAUUAAUAAAAAAUAGACACUAUGUAACUUUAUUGCAUUGAAAAAAACUAUGCUAUGUACCCCUUUUUUCAGGGGAUUAUCUCGAAAAAGGGAUUAAUAUUAAUAUUUGUUCUAUUCUUUUAGUAAUAAUGGAAGAGUUCGGUUCGUAGGAAAAAAGAGAAGCAGAUCUAUUCUAUACUCGAUAAGUACCAAUACGCAAUGGGGGUUGAUUCCCUUUUCUAUGAGCGAAUGUAUCCAUAUUUGGUCAUCAUUCAAAAGACUUAUUCGUAAUAAUUUUCCUUUAUUUUAUGAACUUCGUCAAUCUAUGUAUAAACUAAGAUAACGGCCACUAGUAUUAAGACAAGAAGCCCAUUAUUACGCUUCCACAUCAAAGUGAACUAGAGUACUUAAUUCUUUUUUCUUUCAUUUUAUGCCUAUUGGUGUUCCAAAAGUACCUUAUCGAAGUCCCGGGGACAAGCAUCCAUCUUGGGUUGACAUAUAGUGCGACUUGUCAGAUCUAUUGGGUCAUAUGGGAUUUCCCCGUUCUCUCCCCCGAUCGAGAUAUCCUCUGUUUCGCCCAAAAAAUUGAUUGAAUUAUCAAAAAUUUGUAGCGUGAAAUGCAAUGAAGUGCAAUUAGAUCUAUUUCGUGAGGAAGCAUCCAGAUUAAUAUUAGCAAUAAAUCAAUUUUAUGGUCGUCUUGGCUGGACCAAUAAAAUGAGGUAUCCAGGCUCCGUUUAGAAAAACCCAAUUGGUAAUAUAUCUAUGAUUAUUACUUAUAUCAUAAACGAUUCCUUUAUUCGAAAAGCGAUCUCAAACGUUAAUCAACGGAAUGCUAAAUAUGAUGAAUAUGUCAAAUAUUUGGCGGAAGACAUGAAAGAAAUGAAUUAAAAAAGGGGUAAGUCAUAGCAAAAAAGAGACGUGGUAUUGGGGUCAUUUGUCUUAUAUGUGCAAAUCAAAAUCGGGCGAAUCCUUACUCGGAGUAGAGCCUAAACCUAAAAAAAUGGAAGAAGCCCAUUCAAUUCAGGAACAAGAAAAUGGCAUCGUGAUUUUUGGAUCGGAUCUCGAUGAAAAAAUACAUCAAUGAAAAGUUAGUUCGAUAAGUCGAUAAGUUUAGUGAAUUUCUUUUUUAUAUUAGAAUAUUAUAGGUCUAGGAAACCGGCUAAACUCAGCGUUCUUGAAAACCGGAAGAAAAGCCCCUCGAUAGAAGCGAGGAAAAAAGAAAGGAAAGGGGCUAGGAGCUACACAUUGAUUUGUUUUUCGCAAGUUUUGUUGAACCGUAUGCAUCAAAAGAUGCCUGUACGGCUCCGAAAGGAUACUGUUUUAUCCUAAUCAACCGACUUUAUCGAGAAAGAUUACUUUUUUUAGGUCAAAUGGUUGAGAGCGAUAUCUCGAAUCAACUUAUUGGUAUUAUGGUAUAUCUCAGUAUAGAGAACGAGACCAAGGAUUUGUAUUUAUUUAUCAACUCUCCUGGCGGAUGGGUAAUACCCGGGAUAGCAAUUUAUGAUACUAUGCAAUUUGUGCGACCCGAUGUACAGACAAUAUGCAUGGGAUUGGCCGCCUCCAUGGGGUCUUUUCUCCUGGCCGCCGGAGCAAGUACCAAACGUCUAGCAUUCCCUCACGCUUGGCGCCAAUGAGUUUUUUAUUUGAGAGAAAAAAGAAGACUAUGCCUUCGCCAUAUGAAUUCUUAAUAUUAAGUAAUAAUAGCAUGGCACUUCGAAUUCGAUAUGAAAAUUGUUAGUGUUUUUUUUUUUUUUCAAAAUAUUUGAUUAUGUAUCGAAGCAGUAGUAUGAGAUAAAGAAGGGGUAUUCCGAGUUUAUCUUACCUAUCGGAGGCCUAUUGCAGCGCCACACACCUUUUUCACGCCGAAAGGUUCUUAACAAUUAACAAUUAACAAGAUUUAUGGUAUGAAAGAGUACGAAAAUCAAAAAAGAAGAUUAUUUUUGAUUUAUUUCUUUUUUGAUUUUGAUUUGAAAAAAAAAAAAAAGAAACUUUGGGAUUGCUGAAUCACAAAAAAAAUAAAUAUAUAAAGCAACGGAGCCAUCAUAGUAUUUUUGAACUCCUCAAAAAAAAAGAAGGGUGGUAAUUGGAUCAUUUACCCAUCUGGGUAUAAUAGAACCCCCUUUUUAUCCUUGUUUGAUGAAGGGUAAAAAGCAAAUUCCAUUGGCGAGCCGUAUGCAAUGCGAAAAAGUGCCCGUACGGUUGUUCAAUUCUAUCUUUUUCUUUAUCUCUUCCCCUCGCCGAAUCGUGCGAGAUAGAGGAACCUUUUAUUAUGUUAUAAUAUAUCAUCAGGGUCAUGAUCCAUCAACCUAUUGGCGCUUUUUAUGGGGCACAAACGGGAGAAUUUAUCCUGGAUACGGAAGAACUACUGAGACUGCGCGAAAUCCUUACAAUGGUUUAUGUACAAAGAUCGGGCAAGCCCUUAUGGGUUGUAUCCGAAGACAUGGAAAGGGAUACUUUUAUGUCAGCAACAGAAGCCCAAGCUCAUGGACUUGUUGAUCUUGUAGCGGUUGGAUAAAACAUAGCAGUCACUUCUUAAGGGUUUAAUAUUCUAUUAAACAGAAGAAAUUCAUAAUCAUCCGGUUAGGAUCGAUCUAAACCAGCCCAUAAUGGAUAAUUCAGCAUGCCAACUAUUAAACAACUUAUUAGAAACCCAAGACAGCCAAUUAGAAAUGUUACCAAAUCCCCCGCUCUGCGGGGAUGUCCUCAGCGCCGAGGAACAUGUACAAGGGUGUAUGUGCGACUCGUUUCAAUCAUGGGCUGAGACAAACCAAAAGAAAGAAACCCUUUUUUAAGUAUCAAUGAUCAGUACCUGUGAAUCGGAUAGAAUAGAAGAAGAAGAACUCCAUUCACUAUCUAAAAAAAGAUCGAUCUAUCAUAUCUUUCUAUUGUGUAUGAAAUUUAUGGUUUCCACUGGCGCAAAUUCCACCACCUCAAUUUGCAAUUAAUUUAAGGUGAGAAAGAAUUCCCCAUUGGUAACAAAUAGUUAUCCAUUAAGCGGGGGAAAUACUAUAAAAAAGCAGAAAGAUUAUCUUUCUACUCUUGCAAGAACGGACUAACAAGGUCAGCUACCCCACCAAUCUUCAUAAUUAAAUACCGUUACUGUAUAAGGUCUAUCUCGUUAUGAAAGACCUAUUACUAGAAAAUUCAUGGGUAGAGCCGAAGAGUGGUAACUGUACAAGUUACCAAUAGAAUUGAUUAAAUGAAGGAAGUGGCUCCGGUGUAUAGAGAGGGCCUCACCGUUUAAGAAGUAAUCAUAGAGACGACGGAACCCACAAUUUCUUUAUCUAUUUACUACUUUCGUUUUUUUUUUACUAUUUUCUUUCCAAUGCCUCGACAAAAGGUAAAAGCGUGGUCGGGAAGGUUAGAGUAGCAAAAGCCAUUGGAAUUUUGAUUUUAUAAAUUGGAAGAGUCCGUUUUGUUAUUAAUAGACUAGGAAAGGGGAAAAGAAUAACUGAAAGAAAGGAAAUCAAUUAGUUAUUCAUCAAAGUUUCAUUUAUUCAAUGACCAGAAUUAGACGAGGAUAUAUAGCUCGGAGACGUAGAACAAAAAUGCGUUUAUUUGUAUCAAGCUUUCGCGGGGCUCAUUCACGACUUAGCCGAACAAUUACUCAACAGAAAAUAAGAGCUUUGGUUUCGGCUCAUCGCGAUAGAGAUAGGAAAAAAAGAGAUUUUCGUCGUUUGUGGAUCACCCGAAUAAAUGCAGUAAUUCGCGGAAAUCUGGUAUCCUAUAGUUAUAGUAGAUUAAUAUACAAUCUGUAUAAGGCGCAGUUGGUUCUUAAUCGUAAGAUACUUGCACAAAUAGCUAUAUCAAAUAGGAAUUGUCUUUAUAUGAUUUCCAAUGAGAUUAUAAAAUAAGGAAAUUGGAAGGAAUCCAUUAUAAUUUUUAAACGGAGUUCUCUGGAGAAUGAACUCCAGUAAGAGGAAGGUAGAGUAGAAAUAAUAUGAUAAAGUCGUCAAAAUGAGCGAACACGCUCAAUAAAAAAAAAGAUUGAUUUUAUUCUUCUUUCCCAAUUCUUUUUUUUUUUUUUUCUUACGGCACGGCUGCUUCACAGAUUUUUUGAACAAAACAUCCAUCUGUGUUUGAGUUCAGAUUGGAAUUUUUAUUUAAUUGAAGAGUAAGCCUAUUUUUUUCUGGUUCUAAGACCGGGAGGUCUAGCGGUCAACCCACUUCUUUCAAAUUGUUUCUCAUUAUUAAGAAAAGGUAACGAAGAUAAAAUACGAGCUUGUUUUAUAGCAAUAGUAAUUAAUCGUUGUUCUUUUAAGGUCAAUCUAUUCACCCGUCUAGAUAAUAUUUUUCCUUGUUCACUAAGAAAUCGACUAAUUAAAGUCAUGUUUCUAUAAUCAAUUCGAUCCCCGAUUGGAUCGGGGGCAAACGCCUACGAAAAGAUCGCUUGGAUUUAAGAAAGAGUCGCUUGGUUUUAUCCAUAAUUUGUUUAUUCCUUAUCCCUAAAAUCCCAUUUCGAUGAAAUCAAAAAAUGAUUUAUAGAAUCCAUUAUAGGAUUUGGUUUGUCUAGAUUUAUUUAUUUGUUUUUAUUAAAAUAUAUGAAAUAAUCUAGAUAUAUAUCUAGAUUAGUUUUUCAUGUCCCUUGGAAGGGUGACACAAAAGCACGCGGCUUGACUCUAUCUAUUUUUUUAUCUCCCCAUGAAGUGUAUGCUUGUAACAAUAGGGACAGAAUUUUCUCAAUUCCAAUCGACUGGGUGUAUUGUGUCGAUUCUUUUGAGUAAUAUAUCUGGAAAUACCCCUUGAUUCCUUAUUAACACCGUUUCGAACACAACUAGUACAUUCCAAAAUAACCCUUACUCGGACCUCUUUACCUUGGCCAUGAACCUCCUUGGGGUUUUUGAUUCACCCAACUUUUCUAUUUUCCGACCCGCAACGAAUAAGAACACGACAAAAAAAUAGAAUUGUAACACUCAAAAAAAACUAUGAAAAAAAUUUAUUGCAACAAUAAAAAUAAAAGAAAAAAAAAAAAAAAAAAAAAAAAAAAAAAAAAAAAAAAAAAAAAAAAAAAAAAAAAAAAAAAAAAAAAAAAAAAAAAAAAAAAAAAAAAAAAAAAAAAAAAAAAAAAAAAAAAAAAAAAAAAAAAAAAAAAAAAAAAAAAAAAAACAAAAAAAAAAACUUGCUACAUUUUUUUUUUUUUUUUUUUUUUUUUUUUUUUUUUUUUUUUUUUUUUUUUUUUUUUUUUUUUUUUUUUUGUUGCUCAAAAUAAAAAGUUGUAAUCAAAAACCCAAGGAGGUUCAUGGCCAAGGGUAAAGAGGUCCGAGUAAGGGUUAUUUUGGAAUGUACUAGUUGUGUUCGAAACGGUGUUAAUAAGGAAUCAAGGGGUAUUUCCAGAUAUAUUACUCAAAAGAAUCGACACAAUACACCCAGUCGAUUGGAAUUGAGAAAAUUCUGUCCCUAUUGUUACAAGCAUACACUUCAUGGGAGAUAAAAAAAUAGAUAGAGUCAAGCCGCGUGCUUUUGUGUCACCCUUCCAAGGACAUGAAAAACUAAUCUAGAUAUAUAUCUAGAUUAUUUCAUAUAUUUUAAUAAAAACAAAUAAAUAAAUCUAGACAAACCAAAUCCUAUAAUGGAUUCUAUAAAUCAUUUUUUGAUUUCAUCGAAAUGGGAUUUUAGGGAUAAGGAAUAAACAAAUUAUGGAUAAAACCAAGCGACUCUUUCUUAAAUCCAAGCGAUCUUUUCGUAGGCGUUUGCCCCGAUCCAAUCGGGGGAUCGAAUUGAUUAUAGAAACAUGACUUUAAUUAGUCGAUUUCUUAGUGAACAAGGAAAAAUAUUAUCUAGACGGGUGAAUAGAUUGACCUUAAAAGAACAACGAUUAAUUACUAUUGCUAUAAAACAAGCUCGUAUUUUAUCUUCGUUACCUUUUCUUAAUAAUGAGAAACAAUUUGAAAGAAGUGGGUUGACCGCUAGACCUCCCGGUCUUAGAACCAGAAAAAAAUAGGCUUACUCUUCAAUUAAAUAAAAAUUCCAAUCUGAACUCAAACACAGAUGGAUGUUUUGUUCAAAAAAUCUGUGAAGCAGCCGUGCCGUAAGAAAAAAAAAAAAAAAGAAUUGGGAAAGAAGAAUAAAAUCAAUCUUUUUUUUUAUUGAGCGUGUUCGCUCAUUUUGACGACUUUAUCAUAUUAUUUCUACUCUACCUUCCUCUUACUGGAGUUCAUUCUCCAGAGAACUCCGUUUAAAAAUUAUAAUGGAUUCCUUCCAAUUUCCUUAUUUUAUAAUCUCAUUGGAAAUCAUAUAAAGACAAUUCCUAUUUGAUAUAGCUAUUUGUGCAAGUAUCUUACGAUUAAGAACCAACUGCGCCUUAUACAGAUUGUAUAUUAAUCUACUAUAACUAUAGGAUACCAGAUUUCCGCGAAUUACUGCAUUUAUUCGGGUGAUCCACAAACGACGAAAAUCUCUUUUUUUCCUAUCUCUAUCGCGAUGAGCCGAAACCAAAGCUCUUAUUUUCUGUUGAGUAAUUGUUCGGCUAAGUCGUGAAUGAGCCCCGCGAAAGCUUGAUACAAAUAAACGCAUUUUUGUUCUACGUCUCCGAGCUAUAUAUCCUCGUCUAAUUCUGGUCAUUGAAUAAAUGAAACUUUGAUGAAUAACUAAUUGAUUUCCUUUCUUUCAGUUAUUCUUUUCCCCUUUCCUAGUCUAUUAAUAACAAAACGGACUCUUCCAAUUUAUAAAAUCAAAAUUCCAAUGGCUUUUGCUACUCUAACCUUCCCGACCACGCUUUUACCUUUUGUCGAGGCAUUGGAAAGAAAAUAGUAAAAAAAAAACGAAAGUAGUAAAUAGAUAAAGAAAUUGUGGGUUCCGUCGUCUCUAUGAUUACUUCUUAAACGGUGAGGCCCUCUCUAUACACCGGAGCCACUUCCUUCAUUUAAUCAAUUCUAUUGGUAACUUGUACAGUUACCACUCUUCGGCUCUACCCAUGAAUUUUCUAGUAAUAGGUCUUUCAUAACGAGAUAGACCUUAUACAGUAACGGUAUUUAAUUAUGAAGAUUGGUGGGGUAGCUGACCUUGUUAGUCCGUUCUUGCAAGAGUAGAAAGAUAAUCUUUCUGCUUUUUUAUAGUAUUUCCCCCGCUUAAUGGAUAACUAUUUGUUACCAAUGGGGAAUUCUUUCUCACCUUAAAUUAAUUGCAAAUUGAGGUGGUGGAAUUUGCGCCAGUGGAAACCAUAAAUUUCAUACACAAUAGAAAGAUAUGAUAGAUCGAUCUUUUUUUAGAUAGUGAAUGGAGUUCUUCUUCUUCUAUUCUAUCCGAUUCACAGGUACUGAUCAUUGAUACUUAAAAAAGGGUUUCUUUCUUUUGGUUUGUCUCAGCCCAUGAUUGAAACGAGUCGCACAUACACCCUUGUACAUGUUCCUCGGCGCUGAGGACAUCCCGCAGAGCGGGGGAUUUGGUAACAUUUCUAAUUGGCUGUCUUGGGUUUCUAAUAAGUUGUUUAAUAGUUGGCAUGCUGAAUUAUCCAUUAUGGGCUGGUUUAGAUCGAUCCUAACCGGAUGAUUAUGAAUUUCUUCUGUUUAAUAGAAUAUUAAACCCUUAAGAAGUGACUGCUAUGUUUUAUCCAACCGCUACAAGAUCAACAAGUCCAUGAGCUUGGGCUUCUGUUGCUGACAUAAAAGUAUCCCUUUCCAUGUCUUCGGAUACAACCCAUAAGGGCUUGCCCGAUCUUUGUACAUAAACCAUUGUAAGGAUUUCGCGCAGUCUCAGUAGUUCUUCCGUAUCCAGGAUAAAUUCUCCCGUUUGUGCCCCAUAAAAAGCGCCAAUAGGUUGAUGGAUCAUGACCCUGAUGAUAUAUUAUAACAUAAUAAAAGGUUCCUCUAUCUCGCACGAUUCGGCGAGGGGAAGAGAUAAAGAAAAAGAUAGAAUUGAACAACCGUACGGGCACUUUUUCGCAUUGCAUACGGCUCGCCAAUGGAAUUUGCUUUUUACCCUUCAUCAAACAAGGAUAAAAAGGGGGUUCUAUUAUACCCAGAUGGGUAAAUGAUCCAAUUACCACCCUUCUUUUUUUUUGAGGAGUUCAAAAAUACUAUGAUGGCUCCGUUGCUUUAUAUAUUUAUUUUUUUUGUGAUUCAGCAAUCCCAAAGUUUCUUUUUUUUUUUUCAAAUCAAAAUCAAAAAAGAAAUAAAUCAAAAAUAAUCUUCUUUUUUGAUUUUCGUACUCUUUCAUACCAUAAAUCUUGUUAAUUGUUAAUUGUUAAGAACCUUUCGGCGUGAAAAAGGUGUGUGGCGCUGCAAUAGGCCUCCGAUAGGUAAGAUAAACUCGGAAUACCCCUUCUUUAUCUCAUACUACUGCUUCGAUACAUAAUCAAAUAUUUUGAAAAAAAAAAAAAACACUAACAAUUUUCAUAUCGAAUUCGAAGUGCCAUGCUAUUAUUACUUAAUAUUAAGAAUUCAUAUGGCGAAGGCAUAGUCUUCUUUUUUCUCUCAAAUAAAAAACUCAUUGGCGCCAAGCGUGAGGGAAUGCUAGACGUUUGGUACUUGCUCCGGCGGCCAGGAGAAAAGACCCCAUGGAGGCGGCCAAUCCCAUGCAUAUUGUCUGUACAUCGGGUCGCACAAAUUGCAUAGUAUCAUAAAUUGCUAUCCCGGGUAUUACCCAUCCGCCAGGAGAGUUGAUAAAUAAAUACAAAUCCUUGGUCUCGUUCUCUAUACUGAGAUAUACCAUAAUACCAAUAAGUUGAUUCGAGAUAUCGCUCUCAACCAUUUGACCUAAAAAAAGUAAUCUUUCUCGAUAAAGUCGGUUGAUUAGGAUAAAACAGUAUCCUUUCGGAGCCGUACAGGCAUCUUUUGAUGCAUACGGUUCAACAAAACUUGCGAAAAACAAAUCAAUGUGUAGCUCCUAGCCCCUUUCCUUUCUUUUUUCCUCGCUUCUAUCGAGGGGCUUUUCUUCCGGUUUUCAAGAACGCUGAGUUUAGCCGGUUUCCUAGACCUAUAAUAUUCUAAUAUAAAAAAGAAAUUCACUAAACUUAUCGACUUAUCGAACUAACUUUUCAUUGAUGUAUUUUUUCAUCGAGAUCCGAUCCAAAAAUCACGAUGCCAUUUUCUUGUUCCUGAAUUGAAUGGGCUUCUUCCAUUUUUUUAGGUUUAGGCUCUACUCCGAGUAAGGAUUCGCCCGAUUUUGAUUUGCACAUAUAAGACAAAUGACCCCAAUACCACGUCUCUUUUUUGCUAUGACUUACCCCUUUUUUAAUUCAUUUCUUUCAUGUCUUCCGCCAAAUAUUUGACAUAUUCAUCAUAUUUAGCAUUCCGUUGAUUAACGUUUGAGAUCGCUUUUCGAAUAAAGGAAUCGUUUAUGAUAUAAGUAAUAAUCAUAGAUAUAUUACCAAUUGGGUUUUUCUAAACGGAGCCUGGAUACCUCAUUUUAUUGGUCCAGCCAAGACGACCAUAAAAUUGAUUUAUUGCUAAUAUUAAUCUGGAUGCUUCCUCACGAAAUAGAUCUAAUUGCACUUCAUUGCAUUUCACGCUACAAAUUUUUGAUAAUUCAAUCAAUUUUUUGGGCGAAACAGAGGAUAUCUCGAUCGGGGGAGAGAACGGGGAAAUCCCAUAUGACCCAAUAGAUCUGACAAGUCGCACUAUAUGUCAACCCAAGAUGGAUGCUUGUCCCCGGGACUUCGAUAAGGUACUUUUGGAACACCAAUAGGCAUAAAAUGAAAGAAAAAAGAAUUAAGUACUCUAGUUCACUUUGAUGUGGAAGCGUAAUAAUGGGCUUCUUGUCUUAAUACUAGUGGCCGUUAUCUUAGUUUAUACAUAGAUUGACGAAGUUCAUAAAAUAAAGGAAAAUUAUUACGAAUAAGUCUUUUGAAUGAUGACCAAAUAUGGAUACAUUCGCUCAUAGAAAAGGGAAUCAACCCCCAUUGCGUAUUGGUACUUAUCGAGUAUAGAAUAGAUCUGCUUCUCUUUUUUCCUACGAACCGAACUCUUCCAUUAUUACUAAAAGAAUAGAACAAAUAUUAAUAUUAAUCCCUUUUUCGAGAUAAUCCCCUGAAAAAAGGGGUACAUAGCAUAGUUUUUUUCAAUGCAAUAAAGUUACAUAGUGUCUAUUUUUUAUUAAUAAAGGGGUAGUCCCAUGGGUUUGCCUUGGUAUCGUGUUCAUACCGUCGUAUUGAAUGAUCCCGGUCGUUUGAUUGCUGUCCAUAUAAUGCAUACAGCCCUGGUUGCGGGUUGGGCCGGUUCAAUGGCUCUAUAUGAAUUAGCUGUUUUUGAUCCCUCCGAUCCAGUUCUUGAUCCAAUGUGGAGACAAGGCAUGUUCGUUAUACCCUUCAUGACUCGUUUAGGAAUAACCGAUUCAUGGGGUGGUUGGAGUAUUACAGGGGGGACAGUAACGAAUCCGGGUAUUUGGAGUUACGAAGGUGUAGCGGGGCACAUAUUGUGUUUUCCGGAUUGUGCUUCUUGGCAGCUAUCUGGCAUUGGGUGUAUUGGGAUCUAGCAAUAUUUGUUGAUGACCGUACAGGAAAACGUUCUUUGGAUUUGCCUAAAAUCUUUGGAAUUCAUUUAUUUCUCUCAGGAGUGGCUUGCUUUGGUUUUGGGACAUUUCAUGUAACAGGAUUGUAUGGUCCUGGAAUAUGGGUGUCUGAUCCGUAUGGACUAACUGGAAAGGUACAAUCUGUAAAUCCAGCAUGGGGUGUGGAAGGUUUUGAUCCUUUUGUUCCAGGAGGAAUAGCCUCUCAUCAUAUUGCGGCAGGGACAUUGGGCAUAUUAGCAGGCUUAUUCCAUCUCAGUGUCCGCCCGCCACAACGCUUAUACAAAGGAUUACGUAUGGGCAAUAUUGAAACCGUUCUUUCCAGCAGCAUCGCUGCUGUCUUUUUUGCAGCGUUUGUUGUUGCUGGAACUAUGUGGUAUGGGUCAGCAACUACCCCCAUCGAAUUAUUUGGUCCCACCCGUUAUCAAUGGGAUCAGGGAUACUUUCAGCAAGAAAUAUAUCGAAGAGUCAGUGCUGGACUAGCCGAAAAUCAAAGUUUAUCAGAAGCUUGGUCUAAAAUUCCUGAAAAAUUAGCUUUUUAUGAUUACAUCGGAAAUAAUCCUGCGAAAGGGGGAUUAUUCAGAGCGGGUUCAAUGGAUAACGGGGAUGGAAUAGCUGUCGGGUGGUUAGGACACCCUAUAUUUAGAGAUAAAGAAGGGCGUGAACUUUUUGUACGUCGUAUGCCUACUUUUUUUGAAACAUUUCCAGUUGUUUUGGUAGACGGAGAUGGAAUUGUUAGAGCCGACGUUCCUUUUCGAAGGGCAGAAUCGAAGUAUAGUGUCGAACAAGUAGGUGUAACCGUUGAGUUCUAUGGUGGCGAGCUGAAUGGCGUGAGUUAUAGUGAUCCUGCUACUGUGAAAAAAUAUGCUAGACGUGCUCAAUUGGGUGAAAUUUUUGAAUUAGAUCGUGCUACUUUGAAAUCCGAUGGUGUUUUUCGUAGCAGCCCAAGGGGCUGGUUUACGUUUGGACACGCUUCAUUUGCUCUGCUUUUCUUCUUCGGACACAUUUGGCAUGGUGCUAGAACCUUGUUCAGAGAUGUUUUUGCUGGUAUUGACCCGGAUUUGGACGCUCAAGUGGAAUUUGGAGUAUUCCAAAAACUUGGAGAUCCAACUACAAGAAGACAAGUAGUCUGAUGCAGCAUUGCUCUACUAUUUUAGUUUCUCACUUCUGCUUCUAUUUUCGAUUUGUGCUUUUUAUUUAAAAUAAGGUAUAAGGUACUGGAGAAAUAUGGAUUUAAAUCGCCGCCCUUUUUGAUUCUUUUUUUCUUUAAUCCGGGGGAUGAUCCCAAAUAAACAGGUAUGGAAGCUAUAAUUGGAAACCACGAUCGAAUUUAUGGAAGCAUUGGUUUAUACAUUCCUCUUAGUCUCGACUCUAGGGAUCAUUUUUUUCGCUAUCUUUUUUCGAGAACCGCCUAAAGUUCCAACUAAAAAAACAAAA
RNAcentral lists this long non-coding RNA (22872 nucleotides) under Citrus maxima (pomelo). Lineage: Eukaryota; Viridiplantae; Streptophyta; Magnoliopsida; Sapindales; Rutaceae. The record is from RNAcentral.